UCUAAGCUAUAAAAAAAAAUUAUAGCCUAGAAAAGUAUAUAAAGAAACUAUUAGGGAUGCCUGAGCUAUAUAUUAAAGAGAGAUUGGAAAUUAAUCAUUUAAUUUGUGUAUUGAAAAAAAAAGUUUACACAUGAACUCUUAGAUAAAUUCAAUAAUAAACGAAGUGAAUUGAAAUAUCUUAGUAACUUUAGGAAAAUAAAUCAAACGAGAUUCUAUGAUUAUUGUGAAUGAAAGUAGAACAGCCUAUGUUAAUAUUAAUUAAUAAAGUAAAACGGAUUAAAUCUGUUUGAAUAUUAAGGGGAACCUUCCUCUAAGGCUAAAUAUAAUAUAUAAGCGAUAGCGUAUAGUACUGUGAAGGAAAGGUUUGAAAUAGUAGUUUUAUAAGCAGCUCAAAUAUAUUUUUAAUAAUAAGUAAGAGCGUACCUUUUGCAUAAUGGGUCAGCGAGUUAAUGUUAGAUGCGAGCAGUAAUGCCUAGAUAAACCAAUUAUGAGAUAAUGAUUUAGUAUCUAAAAUUAGACCCGAAGCCUAGUGAUCUUACCAUAGUCAGGGUUAUAAAAGCCCGAACGGGUUAUCGUUGUAAAGAUAUCCGAAGAACUGUGGUAAGUUAGUGAAAGACAAUACUGACUAGGAUAGCUGGUUUUCUGCGAAACCUAUAUAAGUAGGUAAUUCAAAUUACAUCAUAGCAGGUACAGAACUGUGAUCUCAGGCAACUUUUAAUGUUUUAUUAUAAUAACUAUAAUAAGACGGAAUUUUGCAUAUAUCGGGCAGCCGUGAAGGUUUUUAUCGGUGAGUAUUCGCACUCGGAAGGGCAAUGAUGAAUAUUGAAUAAUCGGACAUAGUACGAUAAGGUUGUAUGUCUAAAGGGAAACAGCCCAGAACAAGAGUUAAGGUUCCAAAAUUAUUGUUAAGUGAAAUUAAGGUAGUUUCUAUGUAAUACGACCAGGAAAUAGGCUUAGAAGCGGUCAUUUUUUGAAGAUCUCGUAACAGAGCACUGGUUUGUGCUUCGCCUAAAUUAAUUUUUAUGCGCAAGCGUUUGAUAGUUGCACCGAAAAUUUAACGGAUCUAAACAAUAUACCGAUACCUUGUCCAUAUUUACUUAUAAUUUAUAUUAUAGUAUCUGGUGGGGUAGCAGAACGUUGGGUAAUGUAUAAUUUUUUCUUAUUAAGAAAAUAAAUUUAAUAUCCCAAGAGAUAAUGCUGACAUGAGUAACGAAAAAGGAUACACUUCAUAUCUUAACAGGUAUGAAAUGCCAUAUCCUAACGGAUAUGGGACGUCCUCGCCUAAAGCUUAUGGAUUUUAUAAAGUAACGGCCUCUAAGUUUACCAACCUAAAGGAUUAAACGAUGAGAAAAUCUUAGUUAUAUAGUAACAACCUUCUUUAAGUAAGUGAAGAGGGUUCUGGAAAAACAAUAACUACCUAUAUUACUUUAAUAAACUCAAAAGAUGAAAAGUAAUUAUAGGGACCAAUAACCGUACCUAAAAACUACCACAAGUAAGCUAGUAGAGAAUACGAAGGCGUUUGAGCGAACAAUCAUUAAGGAACUCGGCAAAUUAACUACCGUAACUUCGGGAUAAGGAGGGCCAUUCCUCCUGAUUAAUAUCAGGUAAAGAAGAGGAAGCAUGGAAUAAUGUUGUACGACUGUUUAAUUAAAACAAAGCACUCUGCAGUAAGAUAAUAAAUCAAAGUAUUGAGUGUGAUUUCUGCCCGAUGUCGGCUGGUUAACGGAUUUGCUAAGUUGACUAAUACAAGCUUGGCUUUGAAGGAAACCCCGAUCAAUGGCGGCUUUACCGAUGAGGGUCCUAAGGUAGCGGAAUACCCUGGCCGUUAAAUGCGGUCUUGCAUGAAUGAUUUAACGAUACAACAGCUGUCUCAAUGAUUGGCUCAGUGAAAUUGGAAUAACUGUGCAGAUACAGUUUACCUCUAGUUAGACGAGAAGACCCUAUGCAGCUUUACUGUUGCUAAUUAUUGGAUAUGAUACAAUUAUGACUUUAGCGGAUAAGGUAGACGUAGGGGUAAUUCCUUUGGGAAUAAAUUAAUUGCAUAUUAAUAUAUGCAAUUAAUUUAUUUGUGCAGCGUUGAAACACCUUUGUUAAAUUUAUCAUAUUGAUAGACUUUGUCUAUAUGAAAAUACUGGUAUAUGUUUAACAUAUAUCGGUACAUUAACCUUUUUAUAAGGAACAAUUGCUAGGAGGCAGUUUAUGCGGGGCACAGAUCCCAUAAAAAGUACCUGGGUGUAUCCAAAAUUAAUUUUGUAAAAUUAUCUUAAUUAAAUUAGGAUUAUUAAAUAUAUGAAAUUUGUAUAUUUUUUUUUAGUAUGUUAUUAAUUAUAGCUUAAGCUAUAAUUAAUUCAGUUAUAUAUCUAUUAAGUUAGAACUAACAAUUUAUAUUCAAGUAAGAUUUUAACUAUAUGGAAAAUAGUUGUAAAAAAAGACAUUUUUUUUUUAUGUUUUUUUUUUAGUUAUAUUAUUAGUUUGUUUAUUUAAACAAAUAAUUAAAAACACUAAUAACAUAAUUAUGAUUAAUACUUGUCAAGUUUAAUGGCUUAAUCUUGCUUUACUGUUUGACUUACAAGUCUAUCAGUCGCGUAAGCGGGGCAUAUGAUCACAAGAUGCAGAAAGGAAAGGUCUUGGAUUUUUGAAAAAGCUACGCUAGGGAUAACAGGCUAAUUGCGCCAGAGAGUACAAAUUGAGUGCGCAGUUUGGCACCUCGAUGUCGGCUUAGCUCAUCCACAUGAAUGCAAGAAUCAUGAAGGGUACGACUGUUCGUCGAUUAAAGAGCUACACGAGCUGGGUUAAAUACGUCGUGAGACAGUAUGGUUUCUAUCUUCUAGAGGAAAUUAGAAUAAAAUAAGGUCAGCCCCCUCGUACGAAAGGAGCUGGGUAUAUUAACCUAUGGUUUACCUGUUGUUUAUGUUUGCCUAAUAUUAAUUUAAGUAUAAACAAAAUUGUUUUAUACAGGGCUUUUACUUUCACUUAAGUAAAUUAUAAUUAUAAUUUCAAUAAACUUAAAAGAUGAGGAAUAUAUAGUUGUGCAUAGCAUAGGCACGGCAGGAACGCUAUGUUAGUUAAAAAUAAGUGCUGAAAGCAUCUAGG
Molecule: ribosomal RNA, 3093 nt
Filed under: metagenome
Description: bacterial LSU rRNA
Rfam family: Bacterial large subunit ribosomal RNA
Source: RNAcentral